UAAAACUGUGUGAAAAUGUUCUGAGAGCC
This 29-nucleotide non-coding RNA is filed under the name Mus musculus (house mouse). Lineage: Eukaryota; Metazoa; Chordata; Mammalia; Rodentia; Muridae. The record is from RNAcentral.